RNAcentral lists this long non-coding RNA (1125 nucleotides) under Strigops habroptila (Kakapo). Its description in RNAcentral is "lncRNA (ENSSHBG00005001683.1)". Lineage: Eukaryota; Metazoa; Chordata; Aves; Psittaciformes; Psittacidae. The record is from RNAcentral.
GGCGGCGGGCCGUGCCGCGCGGUGUAUAAACACGUUUUUGUGUGCCUGGCUGUAUGUCUGAGUAAAGAGGUAUUCUCUUGAGGAGUCGCUCAACGCCUGGGCACGGCGUUGCUGGUUUUAUGCUCGUAGUAACGUGUUUUUAGAACCUGACUAAUUUAUGGGACCACCGGUUUAGUGCAGUGGGACUGUUUCCCAUGCGUUUGAGAGGGCGCAUGCUUAUGCUGCCAUUGUUCUUUCUAAAAUUGAAGAGCGUUUUCUUUCCUAAUAAAAUAAGAGUUCAGAGUAAUAGGAGAAAGGAUAUGUAGAGCCAGAUGUUGAAAGCUGCCUCAACAUCGGCUGUAUCAACAGUGGGACAGUACAACAGAUCAACUGGCACCAUAACAGAAGACUUUAGCAAGCAAAUAAAACAACAGUUUUCCUCAAGCAAGCAUAGGAUGCUGUGCAGCUGCUGAACCUCUGCAAGUAGGGAGGGAAGGAGGCCUCUGAGCUGGGCUCUCUUCUGCCAUCAUGUGGAGGACGGGAGUCCUGAUGAGCCAGGAGACCGGAUCCACUAGAUGCUGGAGUGAGGGAAGGAGUAUGUUAUUUGCCGGAGAGAUCUUUGGUUGAUGGAGAAGGGCACUACUAUCUUAGAGGCUGUGGAUUGAUUCUCAUGGAUAUGUGGAGGAGGAAAAGGGUAACUACAGAAAAAGAAGCUGCUGUGCUGAAAUUGCUUCAGGCUAGCUCUUGGAAGGCUGUGAGGAAAGUUACACUGAUCAAGAUGGAAAGAAUGCCAGAAAAAACAAUAAAAGAUUGGAACAAUUGUGAAUCAUGCAAAGACAGAUCUCCUUCUCAGUCAUAGGUUUUGGGAAGACCUUACUGCUUAAAGUUUCAAAACAAAGCCUACAAAGCCGUGGAAAGAGAUGCUUAUGAAAUCAACAGGAAAUUUUAUCUGGUAAGAAAAACACGAGUGUGCUACAGUCAUACGCUUCUUUUUUCUUCUAGCAAGAAGUGCUUAGAGGGGCACAGCAACCCAUAUUUUCUACUCACUGACUCACAGAAGUGACUCUGUACAGACCUUGCUGGUUGCCAAUUUUCAAAUACUGUUUCAAUGAAAAUCACUUUUGAAAUAAAAGGGAAUUAAAUGAA